RNAcentral lists this ribosomal RNA (1110 nucleotides) under Xylariaceae sp. 4Y-Pl7-1. Its description in RNAcentral is "eukaryotic LSU rRNA". The stretch from base 544 to 1110 matches the Rfam family "Eukaryotic large subunit ribosomal RNA", at positions 1 to 578 of the family's 3401-position model. Lineage: Eukaryota; Fungi; Ascomycota; Sordariomycetes; Xylariales; Xylariaceae. The record is from RNAcentral.
UUACAGAGUGUUUACACACCCUACAACCCCUGUGAACGUACCUCUUGUUGCCUCCGCGGUGCAGCAGGCGGGAUCUGCUGCUACCCGGUAGUGGGCUACCCUGUGACGAGUGAGUUACCCGGUAGACCGCUACCCUGUAGUGCCGGGUGCCCCUCUCCCGCGAAAGGCCCUCACGAACUCUGUCAUGACCUGCAAUUCUGAAUCAAAAACAAAUAAGUUAAAACUUUCAACAACGGAUCUCUUGGUUCUGGCAUCGAUGAAGAACGCAGCGAAAUGCGAUAAGUAAUGUGAAUUGCAGAAUUCAGUGAAUCAUCGAAUCUUUGAACGCACAUUGCGCCCAUUAGUAUUCUAGUGGGCAUGCCUGUUCGAGCGUCAUUUCAACCCUUAAGCCCUGUUGCUUAGCGUUGGGAGCCUGCUGGCCUCGUGCCGGCAGCUCCUCAAAGUUAGUGGCGGAGUCGGUACACACUCUAGGCGUAGUAAUUGCUCUCUCGCCUCUGCAGCAGUGCCGGCCCCUGCCGUAAAACACCCCAAUUUUUUAAUGGUUGACCUCGGAUCAGGUAGGAAUACCCGCUGAACUUAAGCAUAUCAAUAAGCGGAGGAAAAGAAACCAACAGGGAUUGCCCUAGUAACGGCGAGUGAAGCGGCAACAGCUCAAAUUUGAAAUCUGGCCUUCUGGUCCGAGUUGUAAUUUGUAGAGGAUGAUUUUGGCGCGGCGCCUUCCGAGUUCCCUGGAACGGGACGCCUUAGAGGGUGAGAGCCCCGUACGGUUGGAUGCUAAGCCUCUGUAAAUCUCCUUCGACGAGUCGAGUAGUUUGGGAAUGCUGCUCUAAAUGGGAGGUAAAUUUCUUCUAAAGCUAAAUACCGGCCAGAGACCGAUAGCGCACAAGUAGAGUGAUCGAAAGAUGAAAAGCACUUUGAAAAGAGGGUUAAAUAGCACGUGAAAUUGUUGAAAGGGAAGCGUUUGCGACCAGACCUCUUCUGGGCGGAUCAUCGGGUGUUCUCACCCGUGCACUUCGCCCAGUCUAGGCCAGCAUCGGUUUCGGCGGGGGGAUAAAAGCUCUGUGAAUGUAGCUCCCUGGGGAGUGUUAUAGCACAUUGCAUAAUACCUCC